This 411-nucleotide ribosomal RNA is filed under the name Pigmentiphaga sp. RNAcentral's name for it is "bacterial SSU rRNA". It matches the Rfam family "Bacterial small subunit ribosomal RNA", at positions 107 to 514 of the family's 1533-position model. The record is from RNAcentral. Lineage: Bacteria; Pseudomonadati; Pseudomonadota; Betaproteobacteria; Burkholderiales; Alcaligenaceae.
UGAGUAAUGUAUCGGAACGUGCCCAGUAGCGGGGGAUAACUACGCGAAAGCGUAGCUAAUACCGCAUACGCCCUACGGGGGAAAGGGGGGGAUCGCAAGACCUCUCACUAUUGGAGCGGCCGAUAUCGGAUUAGCUAGUUGGUGAGGUAAAGGCUCACCAAGGCUUCGAUCCGUAGCUGGUUUGAGAGGACGACCAGCCACACUGGGACUGAGACACGGCCCAGACUCCUACGGGAGGCAGCAGUGGGGAAUUUUGGACAAUGGGGGCAACCCUGAUCCAGCAAUGCCGCGUGUGCGAAGAAGGCCUUCGGGUUGUAAAGCACUUUUGGCGGGAACGAAACGGUGCCGGAUAAUACCUGGCGCCACUGACGGUACCCGCAGAAUAAGCACCGGCUAACUACGUGCCAGCAG